CCUGGCUCAGAUUGAACGCUGGCGGCAUGCCUUACACAUGCAAGUCGAACGGCAGCACGGGAGCUUGCUCCUGGUGGCGAGUGGCGAACGGGUGAGUAAUACAUCGGAACGUACCCAGGAGUGGGGGAUAACGUAGCGAAAGUUACGCUAAUACCGCAUAUUCUGUGAGCAGGAAAGCGGGGGAUCGCAAGACCUCGCGCUCUUGGAGCGGCCGAUGUCGGAUUAGCUAGUUGGUGAGGUAAAAGCUCACCAAGGCGACGAUCCGUAGCAGGUCUGAGAGGAUGAUCUGCCACACUGGGACUGAGACACGGCCCAGACUCCUACGGGAGGCAGCAGUGGGGAAUUUUGGACAAUGGGGGCAACCCUGAUCCAGCCAUGCCGCGUGAGUGAAGAAGGCCUUCGGGUUGUAAAGCUCUUUCGGCGGGGAAGAAAUGGCAACGGCUAAUAUCCGUUGUUGAUGACGGUACCCGCAUAAGAAGCACCGGCUAACUACGUG
Molecule: ribosomal RNA, 496 nt
Filed under: uncultured Azospira sp.
Lineage: Bacteria; Pseudomonadati; Pseudomonadota; Betaproteobacteria; Rhodocyclales; Rhodocyclaceae
Description: bacterial SSU rRNA
Rfam family: Bacterial small subunit ribosomal RNA
Source: RNAcentral